AAGAGAAUGCGGGAUUGCAAGCCCAAACUUCAGAACUUGAAUCAAUAUCAAAUGAGAGAGAAGCUGAACUUUCUGCUCUCACCAAAAAACUUGGGGAGAUCAAUGGUGAAUCUAUUCAGCAGAAGGAGCAAUUGGAUCAGAAGGAAAAGGAAUACUCAGCUCUGUCUGAGAAGCAUGAGCUGCAUGAGAGUAAAACAUCGGCUCAAAUCCUGGGAUUAGAGGCUGCUGUGGCAGGGCUGGAACUGGAGCUAAGAUCUUUGCGAGGUCAGAAAGAAGAUAUAGAUGUUGAGAUUGAGAACAAAGAAACUCAAGUGAAACAACUAGCAGAAGAGAAUGUGGGACUGCAAGCCCGAAUUUCACAACUUGAAUCAAUAUCAAAUGAGAGAGAAGCCGAAUUUUCUUCCCUGGAGAAGAAAUUUGAGGACAGCAGUAAUGAAUAUGGUCGGCUGCAGGAAAAACUGGGUCAGAGGGAAGUGGAACACUCAACUCUGUCUGAGAUGCAUGAGCUGCAUAAGAGUAAAACAUUGGCUCAAAUUACGGGAUUAGAGGCUGCUGUGGCAGGGCUGGAACUGGAGCUGGAAUCUUUGCGAGAUCAGAAAAAAGAUAUAGAAGUUGAGAUUGAGAAGAAAGAAACUCAAGUGAAACAACUAGCCGAAGAGAAUGCGGGAUUGCAAGCCCAAACUUCAGAACUUGAAUCAAUAUCAAAUGAGAGAGAAGCUGAACUUUCUCUCACCAAAAAACUUGAGGAGAUCAAUAGUGAAUCUAUUCAGCUGAAGGAGCAAUUGGAUCAGAAGGAAAGGGAAUACUCAGCUCUGUCUGAGAAGCAUGAGCUGCAUGAGAGUAAAACAUCGGCUCAAAUCCUGGGAUUAGAGGCUGCUGUGGCAGGGCUGGAACUGGAGCUGAGAUCUUUGCGAGGUCAGAAAGAAGAUAUAGAUGUUGAGAUUGAGAACAAAGAAACUCAAGUGAAACAACUAGCAGAAGAGAAUGUGGGACUGCAAGCCCGAAUUUCACAACUUGAAUCAAUAUCAAAUGAGAGAGAAGCCGAAUUUUCUUCCCUGGCGAAGAAAUUUGAGGACAGCAGUAAUGAAUAUGGUCGGCUGCAGGAAAAACUGGGUCAGAGGGAAGUGGAACACUCAACUCUGUCUGAGAUGCAUGAGCUGCAUAAGAGUAAAACUUUGGCUCAAAUUACAGGUUUAGAGGCUGCUGUGGCAGGGCUGGAACUGGAGCUGGAUCUUUGAGAGGUCAGAAAAAAAGAUAUAGAAGUUGAGAUUGAGAAGAAAGAAACUCAAGUGAAACAACUAGCCGAAGAUAAUGCGGGAUUGCAAGCCCAAACUUCAGAACUUGUAUCAAUAUCAAAUGAGAGAGAAGCUGAACGUUCUGCUCUCACCACAAAACUUGAGGAGAUCAAUAGUGAAUCUAUUCAGCUGAAGGAGCAAUUGGAUCAGAAGGAAAAGGAAUACUCAGCUCUGUCUGAGAAGCAUGAGCUGCAUGAGAGUAAAACAUCGGCUCAAAUCCUGGGAUUAGAGGCUGCUGUGGCAGGGCUGGAACUGGAGCUGAGAUCUUUGCGAGGUCAGAAAGAAGAUAUAGAUGUUGAGAUUGAGAACAAAGAAACUCAAGUAAAACAACUAGCAGAAGAGAAUGUGGGACUGCAAGCCCGAAUUUCACAACUUGAAUCAAUAUCAAAUGAGAGAGAAGCCGAAUUUUCUUCCCUGGCGAAGAAAUUUGAGGACAGCAGUAAUGAAUAUGGUCGGCUGCAGGAAAAACUGGGUCAGAGGGAAGUGGAACACUCAACUCUGUCUGAGAUGCAUGAGCUGCAUAAGAGUAAAACUUUGGCUCAAAUUACAGGUUUAGAGGCUGCUGUGGCAGGGCUGGAACUGGAGCUGGAAUCUUUGAGAGGUCAGAAAAAAGAUAUAGAAGUUGAGAUUGAGAAGAAAGAAACUCAAGUGAAACAACUAGCCGAAGAUAAUGCGGGAUUGCAAGCCCAAACUUCAGAACUUGUAUCAAUAUCAAAUGAGAGAGAAGCUGAACGUUCUGCUCUCACCACAAAACUUGAGGAGAUCAAUAGUGAAUCUAUUCAGCUGAAGGAGCAAUUGGAUCAGAAGGAAAAGGAAUACUCAGCUCUGUCUGAGAAGCAUGAGCUGCAUGAGAGUAAAACAUCGGCUCAAAUCCUGGGAUUAGAGGCUGCUGUGGCAGGGCUGGAACUGGAGCUGAGAUCUUUGCGAGGUCAGAAAGAAGAUAUAGAUGUUGAGAUUGAGAACAAAGAAACUCAAGUAAAACAACUAGCAGAAGAGAAUGUGGGACUGCAAGCCCGAAUUUCACAACUUGAAUCAAUAUCAAAUGAGAGAGAAGCCGAAUUUUCUUCCCUGGCGAAGAAAUUUGAGGACAGCAGUAAUGAAUAUGGUCGGCUACAGGAAAAACUGGGUCAGAGGGAAGUG
RNAcentral lists this long non-coding RNA (2435 nucleotides) under Malus domestica (apple). RNAcentral's name for it is "long non-coding RNA (MDOM_LNC006161)". Lineage: Eukaryota; Viridiplantae; Streptophyta; Magnoliopsida; Rosales; Rosaceae. The record is from RNAcentral.